RNAcentral lists this ribosomal RNA (870 nucleotides) under Chryseobacterium gleum. RNAcentral's name for it is "bacterial SSU rRNA". It matches the Rfam family "Bacterial small subunit ribosomal RNA", at positions 571 to 1455 of the family's 1533-position model. Lineage: Bacteria; Pseudomonadati; Bacteroidota; Flavobacteriia; Flavobacteriales; Weeksellaceae. The record is from RNAcentral.
GUAGGCGGAUCUGUAAGUCAGUGGUGAAAUCUCACAGCUUAACUGUGAAACUGCCAUUGAUACUGCAGGUCUUGAGUGUUGUUGAAGUAGCUGGAAUAAGUAGUGUAGCGGUGAAAUGCAUAGAUAUUACUUAGAACACCAAUUGCGAAGGCAGGUUACUAAGCAACAACUGACGCUGAUGGACGAAAGCGUGGGGAGCGAACAGGAUUAGAUACCCUGGUAGUCCACGCCGUAAACGAUGCUAACUCGUUUUUGGGUUUUCGGAUUCAGAGACUAAGCGAAAGUGAUAAGUUAGCCACCUGGGGAGUACGAACGCAAGUUUGAAACUCAAAGGAAUUGACGGGGGCCCGCACAAGCGGUGGAUUAUGUGGUUUAAUUCGAUGAUACGCGAGGAACCUUACCAAGGCUUAAAUGGGAAAUGACAGGCUUAGAAAUAGGCUUUUCUUCGGACAUUUUUCAAGGUGCUGCAUGGUUGUCGUCAGCUCGUGCCGUGAGGUGUUAGGUUAAGUCCUGCAACGAGCGCAACCCCUGUCACUAGUUGCCAUCAUUAAGUUGGGGACUCUAGUGAGACUGCCUACGCAAGUAGAGAGGAAGGUGGGGAUGACGUCAAAUCAUCACGGCCCUUACGCCUUGGGCCACACACGUAAUACAAUGGCCGGUACAGAGGGCAGCUACACUGCGAAGUGAUGCAAAUCUCGAAAGCCGGUCUCAGUUCGGAUUGGAGUCUGCAACUCGACUCUAUGAAGCUGGAAUCGCUAGUAAUCGCGCAUCAGCCAUGGCGCGGUGAAUACGUUCCCGGGCCUUGUACACACCGCCCGUCAAGCCAUGGAAGUCUGGGGUACCUGAAGUCGGUGACCGUAACAGGAGCUG